RNAcentral lists this ribosomal RNA (253 nucleotides) under uncultured bacterium. RNAcentral describes it as "partial 16S ribosomal RNA". It matches the Rfam family "Bacterial small subunit ribosomal RNA", at positions 524 to 776 of the family's 1533-position model. The record is from RNAcentral.
UACGGGGGGGGCAAGCGUUGUUCGGAAUUACUGGGCGUAAAGGGCGCGUAGGCGGCCUACUAAGUCAGACGUGAAAUCCCCCGGCUUAACCUGGGAACUGCGUCUGAUACUGGAAGGCUUGAGUAUGGGAGAGGGAUGUAGAAUUCCAGGUGUAGCGGUGAAAUGCGUAGAUAUCUGGAGGAAUACCGGUGGCGAAGGCGGCAUCCUGGACCAUUACUGACGCUGAGGCGCGAAAGCUAGGGGAGCAAACGGG